Molecule: small RNA, 550 nt
Filed under: Arabidopsis thaliana (thale cress)
Lineage: Eukaryota; Viridiplantae; Streptophyta; Magnoliopsida; Brassicales; Brassicaceae
Description: ATSL226520
Source: RNAcentral
UUAAAUUGAAUAUUAGCUUUCUGACGCCAAAUAUCACAAAAGAUGGGCCAUCUCUUGGAAGACCUUGAAUAAACAACUUUAAAAUAAACGUCGUGAGGAACCGAUAUUAUCUCUUGGAAGCCUUGAAUAAACUGACACUUGAUCUUUUAUAGCUGUCACAUAGAGAUUCUCUAUUCUCAUAUUGAUGUAACUCUCUCGGUUCUCAAAGGUAACUGCCAUAUAUGCACAUUCUUCGCAUAAUUAUCUCAAUUUCUCUUCCAAGUACGUCCUCAUAGUCUACACUAAAAGUCAGACCAAGGUCAGCUUCAUCGAAUUCUGCUCGACUCAAUUUUAAUACGUUCAAACAACGUAACUGUUGUAAUCUCUCUCAUCCGUGUGUUUGAUGUCGUCUAAGGAAACACUUUUUCCGACUCAUAGCAAUGCAUACGAUUGAUCACAAUAUUGUCUAUAUAUGAAGUCAAAAGUAACAAAGAUGAGAAAAUUUUUGAAACCAUAAAAAAUGCGAGAUCUAAUCAUUGAUCAACUUGAACUAAUUUUGUACUUGAAUUUC